Molecule: ribosomal RNA, 425 nt
Filed under: Clostridioides difficile
Lineage: Bacteria; Bacillati; Bacillota; Clostridia; Peptostreptococcales; Peptostreptococcaceae
Description: bacterial SSU rRNA
Rfam family: Bacterial small subunit ribosomal RNA
Source: RNAcentral
GAAACUCAAAGGAAUUGACGGGGACCCGCACAAGUAGCGGAGCAUGUGGUUUAAUUCGAAGCAACGCGAAGAACCUUACCUAAGCUUGACAUCCCAAUGACAUCUCCUUAAUCGGAGAGUUCCCUUCGGGGACAUUGGUGACAGGUGGUGCAUGGUUGUCGUCAGCUCGUGUCGUGAGAUGUUGGGUUAAGUCCCGCAACGAGCGCAACCCUUGUCUUUAGUUGCCAUCAUUAAGUUGGGCACUCUAGAGAGACUGCCAGGGAUAACCUGGAGGAAGGUGGGGAUGACGUCAAAUCAUCAUGCCCCUUAUGCUUAGGGCUACACACGUGCUACAAUGGGUAGUACAGAGGGUUGCAAAGCCGUAAGGUGGAGCUAAUCCCUUAAAGCUACUCUCAGUUCGGAUUGUAGGCUGAAACUCGCCUACA